RNAcentral lists this long non-coding RNA (552 nucleotides) under Brassica napus (rape). RNAcentral describes it as "long non-coding RNA (BNAP_LNC002398)". Lineage: Eukaryota; Viridiplantae; Streptophyta; Magnoliopsida; Brassicales; Brassicaceae. The record is from RNAcentral.
UCUAGUGAGGGUUCACGUCAAAGCUCCCUUGUUGGUGUCGGGCAAGGUAUGCCUGUGGAGGAAUCCUCUUCACAAAUGAAACUUAUGCUUGAAGGAGGCUCACCUCGGGUGUCUGCGAGCCCACCUCACUACACUGCUAGCCCAACUCGGGUGUCUGCGAGCCCACCUCACUACACUGCUAGCCCACCUCGGUAUACUCCAAGUCCAAGCCCCCCUCAUCAUACCUCAAGCCCACAACGGUAUACCCCGAGCCCAAGCCCGCCACAUUAUACCUCAAGCCGCCAGCGGUAUACCCCAAGCCCAAGCCCGCCUCGGUAUACCGAAAGCCCUCCUCUGUAUACUGAAAGUCCUCCUCAGUAUACCACAAGCCCAAAUUGGUAUGCCGAAAGCCCUCCUCGAUACACCCCAAGCCCAAGCCCACCUCGGUUUUCACGGUUCAAUAUCCAGGAGUUACCAUAAGGAAGUGAAUGGAGUAAGAUAAGGAUGGUUUGGCGUGUAGAGUGAGCUUGAACUUUCUCCAAAAUUUAGGAAGUCCAUAGAUAAAAAUGCAGU